This 227-nucleotide ribosomal RNA is filed under the name uncultured bacterium. RNAcentral describes it as "partial 16S ribosomal RNA". It matches the Rfam family "Bacterial small subunit ribosomal RNA", at positions 383 to 607 of the family's 1533-position model. The record is from RNAcentral.
CUGAACCAGCCAAGUAGCGUGAAGGAUGACUGCCCUAUGGGUUGUAAACUUCUUUUAUAAAGGAAUAAAGUCGGGUAUGCAUACCCGUUUGCAUGUACUUUAUGAAUAAGGACCGGCUAACUCCGUGCCAGCAGCCGCGGUAAUACGGAGGAUCCGAGCGUUAUCCGGAUUUAUUGGGUUUAAAGGGAGCGUAGGUGGACUGGUAAGUCAGUUGUGAAAGUUUGCGG